UACGGAGGGAGCUAGCGUUGUUCGGAUAUACUGGGCGUAAAGCGCACGUAGGCGGCGCAGCAAGUCAGGGGUGAAAUCCCGGAGCUCAACUCCGGAACUGCCCUUGAAACUGCAGUGCUAGAAUCCUGGAGAGGCGAGUGGAAUUCCGAGUGUAGAGGUGAAAUUCGUAGAUAUUCGGAAGAACACCAGUGGCGAGGGCGACUCGCUGGACAGGUAUUGACGCUGAGGUGCGAAAGCGUGGGGAGCAAACAGG
RNAcentral lists this ribosomal RNA (253 nucleotides) under uncultured bacterium. RNAcentral's name for it is "partial 16S ribosomal RNA". It matches the Rfam family "Bacterial small subunit ribosomal RNA", at positions 524 to 776 of the family's 1533-position model. The record is from RNAcentral.